GGGUGAUUAGCUCAGCUGGGAGGGCAUCUGCCUUACAAGCAGAGGGUCGGCGGUUCGAUCCCGUCAUCACCCACCA
RNAcentral lists this transfer RNA (76 nucleotides) under Pseudomonas aeruginosa. RNAcentral's name for it is "tRNA-Val". It matches the Rfam family "tRNA". Rfam says of the family: Transfer RNA (tRNA) molecules are approximately 80 nucleotides in length. Their secondary structure includes four short double-helical elements and three loops (D, anti-codon, and T loops). Further hydrogen bonds mediate the characteristic L-shaped molecular structure. tRNAs have two regions of fundamental functional importance: the anti-codon, which is responsible for specific mRNA codon recognition, and the 3' end, to which the tRNAs corresponding amino acid is attached (by aminoacyl-tRNA synthetases). tRNAs cope with the degeneracy of the genetic code in two manners: having more than one tRNA (with a specific anti-codon) for a particular amino acid; and 'wobble' base-pairing, i.e. permitting non-standard base-pairing at the 3rd anti-codon position. Lineage: Bacteria; Pseudomonadati; Pseudomonadota; Gammaproteobacteria; Pseudomonadales; Pseudomonadaceae. RNAcentral also lists the same sequence under 1 other name. The record is from RNAcentral.